UUCUCUUAGAGGAGACAGGCUUUUGCUUUUAAUCUAAUUUCUCAAGUUUGUUGCAUUGAUCCAUCUAGUUUGUUAUUGAUGCUGUUAAGAUUCAUAUGAACUUGGAUUGGUUUAUCUUUUUUUAUGGAUUUUUCCUUUUCUCCAUGUUAUUUUUACCCUGGCAAUCGCUAAUCUUUAAGCUUGUUUCCAAUGGUGUUGAGAUCUAUCCAAAAUAGUAUUGAUUUCUUGUUUUGACGGUUGACUUUUCGCUUACUUCCUACUACUUUCUUAUUGAGUUGGUUCCUAUAGAUCUAUAAUCUUGGUUUGGUGUGUACGCUAUAAAGAUCCCCACAAACUUGGAUUAGUUUAUCUAUUGAUAACAAGCAUUUCACUUUCUCACAUCUAUUUACAACACGGUUGCUCCAAUCUAUCUAGAUUGUUGUGUGUGCUAUAGAGACCCACAUGAAUUGAAACUAGUUUGUUGUGCGUGCUACGGAGAUCCAUGUGAAUUCAAACGGGCCUCUCUCUCGUUGCGUGAUAGACUCUUCAUUUUUCUCAAUAUCUCUACGCCAACUAUUAUACUUUACUAAUUUGUUUUUAGCCCAAAGCACCUAAUACAAACAAAUAAAGAAAACAAGAAAACAAAACCAAGACGUGUAAAGGGGCCAUUUUUUGUCAAAUAAAUAACCCAAAAAGAAACCAAUUUAAAAUCAAUUAUCACAAUUUCAAAGAGAUUGGAUUUUUGUUUCUCUCCACUCCAAUACCUCUCUCCAUCUCCCUUGUGCGUUUUCCGAUCGGCAGUGCCGGAGGCACACGCCCCCGCCCUUCUCUGUCUCCGCCGCCGCCGCCGCCUUCGCCGCCGGCGAGUAGGCCCGGAGUCACGGCGAGAAAACCGGCUCGCCCUCUCCUUCCCGCCCGCGCCGCCCGCCCGCCCGCCCUAGCCGCCUCCUCCCCACCCUGUGCGGCCUCGUCGCGCGCGCCGCCGGCGAACAGGUUCGGAGGGGGCGGCGCGGCGCGGCGCGGGCCUCGGCUCGAAUCGGAUUCAAGUUGGGACAGGCAUGGCCUGCGUUAGCUCUGUCGCCAUGGCUGGGCCAGUGUUGUGGUGAUUGCGAGGGAAGAUGCAAAGGUACACGGGCGCUGGGCACAAUGCUGGGUUUGGCGGCGGCGUGCCAGGCAGGGGGGUGGUGGCAGGAGGGAGGGAGAAGGGCAGGCUGGAGCCUUCUUCGUUCCAUGGUGCCAAUUACCCCGCGAACUUGAGGCGGCAACCACUGGUAGCUCCUUACAAGCUGAAGUGUGACAAGGAAUCACUCAAUGCCAGGCUUGGUGCACCUGACUUCUAUCCCCAGACAUUGAGUUGUGCAGAAGAGACCUUAACCAAAGAAUAUGUGCAAUCUGGGUACAAGGAUACCGUUGAAGGAAUUGAGGAAGCCAGAGAGAUUGUACUCAGUCAGAUUCCAUACUUGAGCAAACCAGAUAUUGCUACAAAAUGCAAGGAGGCACUAAAGAAGCGGUUCAGAGCGAUCAAUGAAUCUCGUGCUCAGAAGAGGAAGGCUGGCCAAGUUUAUGGGGUCCCUCUUUCUGGCUCGUUGCUGACAAAACCUGGGAUGUAUCCAGAGCAAAUGCAUAGCAAUGAAGACACACGCAGAAAAUGGAUCGAGGCCCUUGUGCAACCAAACAGGCGUCUAUGGUCAUUAGCAGAGCAAGUUCCUCGUGGUUUUCGGAGGAAGUUACUCUUUAAUUAUCUUAUCCGAUAUAAUGUCCCACUGUUAAGAGCAUCAUGGCUUGUGAAGGUUACUUACCUUAAUCAGGUUCAAACAUCAUCCAAUAAUGUUUCAUCUGCUGCUCCUGAUAGUUUGCGAUCUCAGCACUGGACAAAGGAUGUUAUUGAAUACUUGCAGCUGCUUUUGGACGAAUUGUGUUCUAAAAAUGGCUUUUUUGGACUUCCAUCUUCUCAAGAACAGUCAUUGCCAUGCCUUGUUGCUGGAGACAGCCCAAUUAAGUUAAAAACCGGGGCAUCACCUGCUAGUGCAGAUGUUGAGGAGCCUUCGCUACACUUUAAAUGGUCGUAUAUGAUUCGUAUUGUUCAAUGUCAUCUCAUGGAACAAUUACUUGUUCCGUCGUUACUUAUCGAAUGGGUAUUUAAUCAGCUCCAGGAGAGAGACUCAACUGAGGUUUUAGAAUUACUCUUGCCUAUUGUACUUUCUUUGGUUGAUACCAUAACCCUCUCACAGACAUAUAUCCACAUGCUGGUGGAAAUACUGAUUCAACGUCUCAGUGAUGCUUCUCCUGGCAGCUUAAGUGUUAAGAAUAACCCAAAAAGGUCAUCCAUUACCUCUGCUUUAGUUGAGUUACUGCAGUACUUGAUACUUGCUGUUCCCGAUACAUUUGUUUCUUUGGAUUGCUUUCCACUUCCAUCAGUUGUGGCUCCUGAUGUAUACGGUAAAGGUGCUCUUCUGAAAAUAGCAGGUGGUGGUAAAAUUGCUAGCUCUAGGAGACAGAAUGCAUCUCGACACCUCUCUUGUGGUUAUGCCAUUUGUUCAGUUCAAAGACGUGCAUCUGAUCUUUCUUUAGUUGCUAAUCCUAAUCUUCAAGUUCGUGGGGCAGCCAACGUAGUGCAAGCUUUGGACAAAGCACUUGUAACUGGAAACUUGACAGCAGCAUAUACAUCAGUAUUCAAUUAUCUAUCAGAUACCCUGAUGGAAGAAACAUGGAUUAAAGAAGUCAGCCCUUGCUUGCGAUCUUCUCUGAUGUGGAUGGGAGCUGUUGAGUUAUCCCUUGUCUGCUCUGUGUUUUUCAUUUGUGAGUGGGCAACAUGUACUUUCCGUGAUUGCCGUACAUCACAAUGCCAAAAUGUAAAAUUUUCAGGAAGCAAAGAUUUCUCUCAGGUCUAUAUGGCAGUUUCCCUGUUGAAGGAUAAAAUGAAUGAGAUAAAUAAUUUAUCUUCUUCCAAGAGCAGCAGUCAGCUUGCAAUGAAGGAUCACCUUAAAAGUGCUACUCUGAAUCAUUCUUCUAUCAAGGUGACAGCAAUGGAGACUGCUUCUGGAUUUAGAGACAGUACAGGUAGCAUUGAUGAGAAUAACAAAAAGGAUAUCUUCAGCAGCCCAGGUCCACUGCAUGACAUUAUUGUAUGCUGGUUGGAUCAACAUGAGAUUAGUGAUGCUUCGGGAUUUAAAAGUGUGGAUGUUUUCAUGACUGAACUUAUUCGCAGUGGUAUAUUUUAUCCUCAGACAUAUGUGAGACAACUAAUUGUUAGUGGAAUCACCAUUUGGAAUGAUAGCUUGUUUGAUCUGGAAAAGAAAACGAGGCAUUACAAAAUUCUGAAGCACCUGCCAGGGUUUUGCUUAUUUAAUAUCCUUGAGGAAGCUAAGAUUGCUGAAGAUCAAGUCCUUUAUGAAAUUGUGUCAACAUAUUCUAGUGAGCGUCGACUUGUGCUUUCUGAGCUUUCAAGUGGUCUGGCUACUGAUGCAAAUGUUGAAGGCAGGGUCCCUUUGAGUUCCUGCCUUCAGAAACAGCCUGAUCUUCUAAUGGAUUCAACAGAUGAUAAUCAUGGCAGAGUGGCAGUUCAAGUAGAAGAGGUAAAACUUAUGAUAUCAGGUCUGUUGAAUUUGGGAUACUCUACACUCUUGGCUGAAUCAGGAAGAGAAGAAACAAAAAAAACCAAGAAAGGACAAACAGAUUUGGUAGACUCAGAAGAAGAUGUUGGGCAUGCAAAAACUGGCUGUAAGGAUAGUAGUAGGACCAAGAGACAGAAGUUGGAUAAGAACGUGUUUCCUUUCCAAGGGUCCCCAUUGGUUCAAUCAGAUGAGGAAGAUUUUUGGUGGGUAAGGAAAGAGCAGAAGCAGGAAUUGUUUACUGUUGAAACAAUACAUCAGUCAAUUGAACAAACAAGUGGAGGUAAGGCAACAGUAGUGCAAAAGACACAAAAUAUAGCACAACUUGCAGCUGCUAGAAUCGAUGGUAGCCAGGGGGCAUCUACUAGUCACGUGUGUGAUAACAAUCUGAGUUGUCCCCACCAUAAACCUGGCACUAACUCUGACAUUCUUAAAGACGCUGAUCAUAUGAGUAUGUUGACUCUGGCUGAAGUUGGCAAAUCACUUAAGAGACUUAGAUUGCUUGAAAGAAGAUCCAUUUCAAUCUGGCUGCUGAAGUCCAUAAAACAACUAAUUGAAGGAGAUGAAGUGAAACAUUCUAAGGCUAAUAACUCCAUAAGUGCCUCCACUGUGCAGCAUAGUGGUAAAAUUGCAUCUGGAUGGAGGUUUGGAGAAGAUGAACUUCUGUCAGUGCUGUACAUAAUGGAUACAUGUUGUGAUUUACUCUCCUCUGUAAGGUUGCUUAUAUGGCUUCUAUCAAAGAUUUAUAUUGGAAGGACCACAUCUGGUCAAGUUGGAAGAGGUGUUAUGCACCCAAAACAUAAAGAAAACCAAGUUUUCCAAGUAGCCGAAGCUUUUCUGUUCUCAUCCUUGCUCAGGUAUGAGAACAUCCUUAUUGCAAUGGAUCUUUUGCCCGAGGUUUUGAGUGUUUCAAUGAAUAGAACUGUUCAUAAGUCAGGUGAAAGGCAGUCUACUUCAGUAGCUUUUGCUUAUGCUCGAUAUUUCUUAAGGAAAUACAGAGAUGUGACUAGUGUUGCUAGGUGGGAAAGAAAUUUUAGGUCCACAUCUGAUAAAAGGCUGCUUGCUGAACUGGAUAGUGGAAAGUCAAUCACUGGUGAUUCAAUUAUUUCUGGAAUUUCAUCAGGUGAAGAACUUGAUGGGCAUGUCCAUAAAAAAUUGAAUGGGAAAGCAGGAGUACUUCCAAGUAUGAAGGAGAUAGUGCAACGGCAAACUGACGAGUUUUUACGCAACCUAAGGGAAAAUAAUGCUACAGCACCAAAGAACCCAUCUUUUUCUGAAACGGAAGAUAGCUAUCAAACUGCUCAUGACAUUGUUUUGGGAUUGGCAGACUGUAUCAGACAAAAUGGAGGAGCAAAUCCAGAUGGAGAUCAUUCUUUAGUUGCUUCUGCUGUUUCUGCAAUUGUUGACAAUGCUGGGCAUGCAAUAGCUAAACACUUGGAUAUUUCAGGUGGUAACAAUCCAGGUGUUACCUCAAUUAAUUCAUUAAACUUGAUUCAACACAUUUUGGAUAUCCACAUAAACUCUCUGGCCUUGCUAAGAGAAACUUUAGGUGAUCGAUUUAGUAGAAUAUUUGAAAUAUCUCUUGCUGUUGAAGCUUCUUCAGCUGUUGCAGCAUCUUUUGCUCCUCCUAAGGCUCACCGCAGUCAACAGUCUUCUGAGACCCAUGAUGAAAGUGGAAAUCAUGCAAAUGAAGUUCCAAGUAAUCCGUCAAAAUGUUUUAAUGUUAAGGCUGUAAAAGUUUCUGCUGCUGUUUCUGCACUAGUUGUUGGAGCUAUUAUUUAUGGGGUUGUCAGUCUAGAGCGGAUGAUGGUGGUCCUAAGAUUAAAAGAAGGUUUGGACAUUCUGCAGUUCUUAAGAAUUUCCAAAGCUAGCACAAAUGGUGUGACCCACUCCAUUGGAAAUUUCAAAAUUGACAGUUCCACUGAAGUUUUGGUACAUUGGUUUAAGAUUCUAAUAGGGAACUGUAAGACAGUUUAUAAUGGAGUGAUCGCAGAGAUUCUAGGUGAUUCUUAUGUCCUUGCCUUUUCAAGGUUGCAACGGACGCUUCCAUUGGGUAUAGUUCUUCCUCCAGCUUAUUCAAUAUUUGCUAUGGUCCUUUGGCGACCAUAUUUAUAUGACACCAGUACAUCGAAUCAUGAAGACAUUCAGCUUUAUCAGUCUCUACUGGGUGCAAUUAGUGAUAUCACAAGACAUCAGCCUUUUCGAGAUGUCUGCUUCCGUAACAUGCAUCUUUUCUAUGAUCUUCUGGCUGCGGAUGUUGGUGAUUCAGAGUUUGCUGCAAUCGUUGAACUUCGAAGCCCUGAUGAAUGUUUGAAAGCUCUUUCACCUCUUCGUGCCCGGGUUUUCCUGAAUGCUCUUCUUGAUUGUGAAAUACCAGUAACAAUGAGAGACGAUGGUACAUAUGCUUUAGAGCCUGGUUGUGCAGAAGCUAGUACCAAGAAUGAUGUAAAGUUUCCAGAGAGGCUUAUAGAAAUUCUGAAUGUCCUACAGCCUGCAAAGUUCCAUUGGCAAUGGGUUGAGUUGAGGCUGCUUUUGGAUGAGCAAUCUCUUAUUGAGAAACCAAAGAAUGUGCCAUAUGUAAAAGCACUUCGAUCCCUAUCCCCUAAUGCUGAGAAUUUUACCCUCUCUGAAAGGGAAAAGGGGCUUACUGAAGUUAUUUUGUCUAGGCUACUUGUCAGACCUGAUGCUGCUCCUCUAUACUCAGAACUUAUUCACCUUCUUGGAAAGCUACAAGAGUCAUUCGUGAUGGGUAUCAAAUGGUUCUUACAAGGGCAAGAUGUUCUUUUGGGAAACAACUCUGUAAGACAACAGCUUGUUAACUUGACUCAGCGCAAAGGAUUUCCAAUGAAGACACAGUUUUGGAAGCCAUGGGGAUGGUCAAAAUUAGUCGGAUAUGCUAAUGCUAAUAAAAGCUCCAAAAGGAAGUUAGAAGUUACUUCAAUUGAGGAAAGAGAAGUUGAUGGCUUGAUUGAUUCUAGAAAAUCCAGUAAUAGGAAGUCGCUAAAUGUGGGUACAAGCCCAGAAGGGCAUGGAUCUACCCAAAAAUAUUUUACUCAGGAAGCCCUUGCUGAGUUAGUUUUGCCAUGCAUAGACAGAAGUUCUAGCGAGUUUCGCUUUGUAUUUGCUGGUGAUUUGAUCAAACAUAUGGGUGUGAUCAGUGAGCAUAUUAAAGCAGCAGUGUGGAACGGUAUUAAUAAACUGAAUAGUUCAAAUCCUUCAGGAAAUGAAGGUUUGAGUAAACCCAAUGGCCGCAAAGGAAUCUUCAGUGGUAGUCCGAAUAUCAGGAAGCAUAGCCCUGUACCUAAUGAUUCAACUACUCCUUCCGCAUCAGCUUUACGAUCAUCAAUAUGGUUGCGCCUGCAAUUCAUCAUUAGGCUACUUCCAGUAAUUAUUGCAGACAGUAACAUGAGGCAAACGCUAGCUUCCUCCUUAUUAAGCUUGGUUGGAACACGUGUGGUCUAUGAAGAUGCAGAUUCACUUGAACCUUACAUGGAUGAUGUCCUGCUUGAUUGUCCAAGUGAAAGCCUAUUCGAUAGGCUUUUAUGUGUCCUGCAAGCUUUGCUUGGCAAUAGCCAACCAAGUUGGCUGAAGACUAAGCCAAGCUCCAAGCCAGCUGUUAAAUUUUUGCGUGAUCUUUCUGCAAUUGAUAAAGAGGUCACUAAGAGCUUGCAGUGUGCAUUAGAUCGCAUGGAGUUGCCAGCAACAAUCAGGCGGCGGAUUCAAGUGGCUAUGCCGAUUCUACCUACUUCCCGCCUCUCCUCCAUAACAUGUGGUCCUCCUCUACUGUCCUCUGCUGCACUAUCACCAUUCCAGUGCAGUACAUCUGCUGCAGGGCCUCACCAACAAUUUCCCCUCAAUUGGAUUCCUACCAAUCUCUCAAGAAGAUGCAAGGCAGCGUUGCCUUCACAGGAUCCUAACAUGGAAAUAGAUCCUUGGACUUUGCUGGAAGACGGUACAAGCUGUCCAAAUACCAACAGUGGCAGCAAUUCUGCAAAUGGUGUUACCGGUGACCAUGCCAAUCUGAAAGCUUGCAGCUUUCUCAAGGAUUCUGUAAGGGGAUGGCUGAUGGCUUACUAAAGAUUAAAGAGCAUAAAAAGUGCUAGAAAUCAGUCCUCCACUUCCUGAUGAUGACAAACCACAGCUUAUGGAGGUCGAGGUGGAGUUGCCAACAGCUCAUUCUGUAAAUCUAUCUUCAAGUCCGAGCUCGAGAUCAAAUAUGAGUUAGUCAGGACGAUCACUAGCUGUGGAAAUCUGGACGAAGGUUUUCAUGGUCAUGUAAAUUUUAUUGCAAAGGGCGAUUGCAAGAACUCGGAGGAGUUAUUUUUCGCGGAAGUACGCUGGGAAAACAAUGGAUAUAUACCCACUUGCAUGGUCUCUCUUGAAGGGAAAGAAAAAAUUGGUGGUUACUAUGGCGCCAGAGUUCAUUAUCCAAGAGGUGUUCCAGGUCUUCCCAUUGACAAACAACACUGCUAUUUCUGUGGAGAUGAGCUUAAGCAUCCAGAAGAUGGAACACUGUAUGAGAGUGGCCAUGUUGCUUCGAGUGAUUAUUAUGAGUAGUAUGCAUUAUCUAUUAUGUUUAUUAUUUUCAAGUUGAACUAAGUUAGUAUUUGUGUUAGUUAUCACACUUUUUCACCGUUGUAAUGUUUAUAAACCACGUUUAUAUUUGGGUUGAACUUCGAGUUGUAUGCCAUACAGCCGAGCAAAAGUUUGAGAGAAUCAUCGUUGUAUGUCAGCAAUUCGCUCUUGGGAGGAGCUAUAUUUGUUUAACCAGAUCUUAUCCUGUUUUUACC
Non-coding RNA from Oryza sativa Japonica Group (Japanese rice), 8380 nucleotides. NCBI's taxonomy places the organism in Eukaryota, Viridiplantae, Streptophyta, Magnoliopsida, Poales, Poaceae. The record is from RefSeq and is a predicted model, not a curated record.